This 232-nucleotide long non-coding RNA is filed under the name Linum usitatissimum (flax). Its description in RNAcentral is "long non-coding RNA (LUSI_LNC000472)". The record is from RNAcentral. Lineage: Eukaryota; Viridiplantae; Streptophyta; Magnoliopsida; Malpighiales; Linaceae.
UUAGAAGCAGAAACCUUAACAGCCACCCACAGUGUUAAUGAGUCAAUAUUAAGUAUCACAAAUAUACAUAAAGAUGGACACUUUGCUACUAAAUUUAUCUCCCAAACUUCAUGGAAACAGAGAUUGUUCACCUAGAGAUCCUAGACAAAAGAUGUACAAAUCUGCAACUUUCACCGAGUAGUCUAUUGAACACAAUGAGGAACAUAGAGCUACUAAGUUAUAUUAAUAUAAA